RNAcentral lists this ribosomal RNA (253 nucleotides) under uncultured bacterium. RNAcentral's name for it is "partial 16S ribosomal RNA". It matches the Rfam family "Bacterial small subunit ribosomal RNA", at positions 524 to 776 of the family's 1533-position model. The record is from RNAcentral.
UACGUACGAGGCGAGCGUUAUCCGGAAUUACUGGGCGUAAAGCGCGCGCAGGUGGCUUGGUAAGUGAGAUGUGAAAUCUCCCGGCCUAACUGGGAGGGGACAUUUCAGACUGGCAGGCUUGAGGACAGCAGAGGUAGGUGGAAUUCCUGGUGUAGUGGUGAAAUGCGUAGAUAUCGGGAGGAACACCUGUGGCGAAAGCGGCGCACUGGACCACAACUGACGCUGAGGCGCGAAAGCUAGGGGAGCAAACAGG